RNAcentral lists this long non-coding RNA (510 nucleotides) under Homo sapiens (human). Its description in RNAcentral is "HSALNT0126262". Lineage: Eukaryota; Metazoa; Chordata; Mammalia; Primates; Hominidae. The record is from RNAcentral.
CCCAAUUUGAUUAUUAACAUAGGUGAGAGUUAACCCACUAUGACUUUGCCCAUUGUUUAGAAAGAAUAUUCAUAGUUUAAUUAUGACAUUUUUGAUGAGACACAGUGGCUCACACCUGUAAUCCCAGCACUUUGGGAGGCCAAGGCAGGCAGAUCAUCUGAGGCCAGGAGUUCAAGACCAGCCUGACCAACAUAGUGAAGCCCCCUUUCUACUAAAAAUACAAAAAUUAGCUAGGUAUGGUGGCACACGCCUGUAAUCUCAGCUACCCAGGAGGCUGAGGCAGGGGAAUUGCUUGAACCUGGGAGGUGGAGGCUGCAGUGAGCCAAGAUCAUGCCACUGAACUCCAGCCUGAGUGACAGAGUGAGACUGCAUCUAAAAAAUAAAAUUAUGCCUUUUUGUAGCACAUAUAUUUUGUAACAUACAACUGAAGCCAGUAUUAUAUUAUUAGUUUUCAUUUAAUGUUUUCAGCCCAUCUCCCCUGAUAUUUCUGGGAGACAGGAAAUAUGUUUU